Molecule: transfer RNA, 62 nt
Filed under: Histeridae sp. BMNH 1274745
Lineage: Eukaryota; Metazoa; Arthropoda; Insecta; Coleoptera; Histeridae
Description: tRNA-Ala
Rfam family: tRNA
About the family: Transfer RNA (tRNA) molecules are approximately 80 nucleotides in length. Their secondary structure includes four short double-helical elements and three loops (D, anti-codon, and T loops). Further hydrogen bonds mediate the characteristic L-shaped molecular structure. tRNAs have two regions of fundamental functional importance: the anti-codon, which is responsible for specific mRNA codon recognition, and the 3' end, to which the tRNAs corresponding amino acid is attached (by aminoacyl-tRNA synthetases). tRNAs cope with the degeneracy of the genetic code in two manners: having more than one tRNA (with a specific anti-codon) for a particular amino acid; and 'wobble' base-pairing, i.e. permitting non-standard base-pairing at the 3rd anti-codon position.
Source: RNAcentral
GGGGUUAUAGUUAAUAAUAACAUUUAACUUGCAUUUAAAAAGUACUGGAUCAGUUAACCUCA